AUGCUCGCUUCGGCAGCACAUAUACUAAAAUUGGAACGAUACAGAGAAGAUUAGCAUGGCCCCUGCGCGAGGAUGACACCCAAAUUCGUGAAACGGAAUAAGUCCUC
This 107-nucleotide small nuclear RNA is filed under the name Vombatus ursinus (common wombat). Lineage: Eukaryota; Metazoa; Chordata; Mammalia; Diprotodontia; Vombatidae. The record is from RNAcentral.